AUGGCUGAUGUUCUUCAAAACUUUGGUGGCAUUACGACGGCGUUCCCGAUUAGAUAUCUAGGCCUCCCAAUCACGACGGGGCGUAUUAGACUAGUACAUAUUCAGGCCAUUCUGGACAGGAUCCGGGCUCGCCUUGCCGGCUGGAAAGGCAGAUUAAUGCCGUUGGCUGGUCGGCGUGUCCUAGUACGUUGCGUACUUUCGGCCAUGCCCACCUUUGCGCUCAUAGCCCUUCGAGUUCCAAAGAAGUUCUAUAAAGACGUAGACAAAUCACGGCGGCGUUUCCUCUGGGCAGGAGAUGAGGAGAUGUCUGGUGGAAAGUGCAAAGUGGGCUGG
This 333-nucleotide ribosomal RNA is filed under the name Triticum aestivum (bread wheat). RNAcentral's name for it is "partial small subunit ribosomal RNA". The record is from RNAcentral. Lineage: Eukaryota; Viridiplantae; Streptophyta; Magnoliopsida; Poales; Poaceae.